ACGUACACUCCUACGUGAGGCAGCAGUGGGGAAUAUUGGACAAUGGGCGCAAGCCUGAUCCAGCCAUGCCGCGUGAGUGAUGAAGGCCCUAGGGUUGUAAAGCUCUUUCACCGGUGAAGAUAAUGACGGUAACCGGAGAAGAAGCCCCGGCUAACUUCGUGCCAGCAGCCGCGGUAAUACGAAGGGGGCUAGCGUUGUUCGGAUUUACUGGGCGUAAAGCGCACGUAGGCGGACUAUUAAGUCAGGGGUGAAAUCCCGGGGCUCAACCCCGGAACUGCCUUUGAUACUGGUAGUCUUGAGUUCGAGAGAGGUGAGUGGAAUUCCGAGUGUAGAGGUGAAAUUCGUAGAUAUUCGGAGGAACACCAGUGGCGAAGGCGGCUCACUGGCUCGAUACUGACGCUGAGGUGCGAAAGCGUGGGGAGCAAACAGGAUUAGAUACCCUAGUAGUCCCAUG
Molecule: ribosomal RNA, 454 nt
Filed under: uncultured organism
Description: partial 16S ribosomal RNA
Rfam family: Bacterial small subunit ribosomal RNA
Source: RNAcentral